UACGUAGGGGGCUAGCGUUGUCCGGAAUCAUUGGGCGUAAAGCGCGUGUAGGCGGCCCGGUAAGUCCGCUGUGAAAACUCGGGGCUUAACCCCGAGCCUGCAGUGGAUACGGGCAGACUAGAGGUAGGUAGGGGAGAAUGGAAUUCCCGGUGUAGCGGUGAAAUGCGCAGAUAUCGGGAGGAACACCGGUGGCGAAGGCGGUUCUCUGGGCCUUACCUGACGCUGAGGAGCGAAAGCGUGGGGAGCGAACAGG
This 253-nucleotide ribosomal RNA is filed under the name uncultured bacterium. Its description in RNAcentral is "partial 16S ribosomal RNA". It matches the Rfam family "Bacterial small subunit ribosomal RNA", at positions 524 to 776 of the family's 1533-position model. The record is from RNAcentral.